GACGAACGCUGGCGGCGUGCUUAACACAUGCAAGUCGAACGGAAAGGCCCUGCUUUUGUGGGGUGCUCGAGUGGCGAACGGGUGAGUAACACGUGAGUAACCUGCCCUUGACUUUGGGAUAACUUCAGGAAACUGGGGCUAAUACCGGAUAGGAGCUCCUGCUGCAUGGUGGGGGUUGGAAAGUUUCGGCGGUUGGGGAUGGACUCGCGGCUUAUCAGCUUGUUGGUGGGGUAGUGGCUUACCAAGGCUUUGACGGGUAGCCGGCCUGAGAGGGUGACCGGCAAAAUGGGGGCUGAAAUACGGCCAAGCCUCCUACGGGAGGCAGAAGUGGGGAGUGUUGCACAAUGGGCGGAAGCCUGAUGAAGAACCGCGGGGGGGGGGAUAAGGGCCUGCGGGUUAUAACCCGCUUCCGCCUGAAGAGAAGGGGGAGGGACGGAAGUGGGAAAAGAGGCACGGGCAAACUACGUG
This 468-nucleotide ribosomal RNA is filed under the name uncultured bacterium. Its description in RNAcentral is "partial 16S ribosomal RNA". It matches the Rfam family "Bacterial small subunit ribosomal RNA", at positions 28 to 507 of the family's 1533-position model. The record is from RNAcentral.